GAGUUUGAUCUUGGCUCAGAUUGAACGCUGGCGGCAUGCCUUACACAUGCAAGUCGAACGGCAGCAUGAUCUAGCUUGCUAGAUUGAUGGCGAGUGGCGAACGGGUGAGUAAUACAUCGGAACGUGCCCUGUAGUGGGGAUAACUAGUCGAAAGAUUAGCUAAUACCGCAUACGACCUGAGGGUGAAAGUGGGGGACCGCAAGGCCUCAUGCUA
Molecule: ribosomal RNA, 214 nt
Filed under: uncultured microorganism
Description: partial 16S ribosomal RNA
Rfam family: Bacterial small subunit ribosomal RNA
Source: RNAcentral